GUGACCUCAAAUCAGGUAGGACUACCCGCUGAACUUAAGCAUAUCAAUAAGCGGAGGAAAAGAAACUAACAAGGAUUCCCCUAGUAACUGCGAGUGAAGCGGGAAAAGCUCAAAUUUAAAAUCUGGCAGUCUUUGGCUGUCCGAGUUGUAAUCUAGAGAAGUGUUAUCCGCGCUGGACCGUGUACAAGUCUCCUGGAAUGGAGCGUCAUAGAGGGUGAGAAUCCCGUC
RNAcentral lists this ribosomal RNA (228 nucleotides) under uncultured Dermocybe. RNAcentral describes it as "partial 28S ribosomal RNA". It matches the Rfam family "Eukaryotic large subunit ribosomal RNA", at positions 1 to 225 of the family's 3401-position model. The record is from RNAcentral. Lineage: Eukaryota; Fungi; Basidiomycota; Agaricomycetes; Agaricales; Cortinariaceae.